This 627-nucleotide long non-coding RNA is filed under the name Salmo salar (Atlantic salmon). Its description in RNAcentral is "lncRNA (ENSSSAG00000118908.1)". Lineage: Eukaryota; Metazoa; Chordata; Actinopteri; Salmoniformes; Salmonidae. The record is from RNAcentral.
GUCAGUUGUGCAUGGAACAUUUCAACGGACGUCGUCUUGAUCUUUCUCCUCUAGAAUGGCCAUGCGGCAGGUAUAGGUAUUCACGUAUUCAGACGUUCCUGAGUAUUUUCCAGAAUACAUUGACAAGGUAUGUCAAUAUAUUCAAAUGUCUGUGUGUUUUCAUUGUAACUCGCAUAAGGGCUUGUAGGGCCCCAUGAUUUCCGCAAUGCGGAAAACUCAGACGGAAUCCUAUGGAAUCCAGAAAUUUAAACAGAUUACAGGUACCCCUCGGACAGGAUACACAGGAUAUUACAGUAACCCAACAUUUGUGUGACAUUUACAUUUUAGUCAUUUAGCAGACGCUCUUAUCCAGAGCGACUUACAGUAGUGAACGCAUACACUUCAUAUAUUUCAUUGAAUAAUAGGUAGGUAUUAGAUAUAUGCUGUAUUGUUAAAUCAACUAAAUGGAUUGAACACGUUAGGCAACAAAAAGUUAACACGGAAUUCCGAAAAAUAAAACAGCAAUUGGAGGAAAAAAGAACAAUAAUUUCAUAGGGCCCUAUUAGUGUUCUACCCAAUGCGUUGUUGGCCAGGCAGGUAUUGACAAUGUGUGUCUUCCUUAUUUUAGAAUGAGGUAGCAUAUGGGGG